Molecule: small nucleolar RNA, 138 nt
Organism: Euleptes europaea (tarantolino)
Lineage: Eukaryota; Metazoa; Chordata; Lepidosauria; Squamata; Sphaerodactylidae
Product: small nucleolar RNA SNORA15
Exons: 1
Source: RefSeq, a predicted model, not a curated record
GCAUGGACGAAUUCUGCAUUGGCUUUUAUAAUAGCUAAUGGAGUCAGACACCAUGCGAGAGCAAUGUUUCUGUCUCGGGCAUUGUUGGUGGCAUGCUGUGCCUCGGGCAGCAUGCCUGCGUCAGAAGCAGAUACACAG